CUACGGGAGGCAGCAGUGGGGAAUAUUGGACAAUGGGCGCAAGCCUGAUCCAGCAAUGCCGCGUGGGUGAAGAAGGUCUUCGGAUUGUAAAGCCCUUUCGGCGGGGACGAUGAUGACGGUACCCGCAGAAGAAGCCCCGGCUAACUUCGUGCCAGCAGCCGCGGUAAUACGAAGGGGGCUAGCGUUGCUCGGAAUUACUGGGCGUAAAGGGCGCGUAGGCGGCGGUGUCAGUCAGGCGUGAAAUUCCUGGGCUUAACCUGGGGGCUGCGCUUGAUACGGCACUGCUAGAGGUCAGAAGAGGCUCGUGGAAUUCCCAGUGUAGAGGUGAAAUUCGUAGAUAUUGGGAAGAACACCGGUGGCGAAGGCGGCGAGCUGGUCUGAUACUGACGCUGAGGCGCGACAGCGUGGGGAGCAAACAGGAUUAGAUACCCGGGUAGUCC
Molecule: ribosomal RNA, 440 nt
Filed under: uncultured bacterium
Lineage: Bacteria
Description: bacterial SSU rRNA
Rfam family: Bacterial small subunit ribosomal RNA
Source: RNAcentral